This 494-nucleotide ribosomal RNA is filed under the name uncultured bacterium. RNAcentral describes it as "partial 16S ribosomal RNA". It matches the Rfam family "Bacterial small subunit ribosomal RNA", at positions 28 to 507 of the family's 1533-position model. The record is from RNAcentral.
GACGAACGCUGGCGGCGUGCUUAACACAUGCAAGUCGAACGGUGAAGCGCCUUCCUUUUUGGUGGGUGUGGAUGAGUGGCGAACGGGUGAGUAACACGUGAGUAACCUGCCCCCUUCUUCUGGAUAACCGCAUGAAAGUGUGGCUAAUACGUGAUAUUCUGGGUCUGUCGCAUGAUGGGUCUGGGAAAGAUGUUGUUUCGGUGGGGGAUGGGCUCGCGGCCUAUCAGCUGGUUGGUGGGGUGAUGGCCUACCAAGGCGGUGACGGGUAGCCGGCGUGAGGGGGUGGACGGCCACAAUGGGAGUGAGGCACGGCCGAGACUACUACGGGAGGCAGCAGUGGGGAAUAUUGUACAAUGGGCGCAAGCAUGAUGCAGCGGCGCCGCGGGAGGGAUGGAGGCCUUCGGGUUGUGAUCCUCUUUCGCCAGUGAAGCAGGCCUGCCUCGUUUGUGGGUGUGUUGACGGUAGCGGGAGAAGAAGCGCCGGCUAACUACGUG